AUUGAACGCUGGCGGCAUGCUUUACACAUGCAAGUCGAACGGCAGCGCGGGCUUCGGCCUGGCGGCGAGUGGCGAACGGGUGAGUAAUGCAUCGGAACGUGCCCAGUAGUGGGGGAUAGCCCGGCGAAAGCCGGAUUAAUACCGCAUACGACCUGAGGGUGAAAGCGGGGGACCGAAAGGCCUCGCGCUAUUGGAGCGGCCGAUGUCGGAUUAGCUAGUUGGUGGGGUAAAGGCUUACCAAGGCGACGAUCCGUAGCUGGUCUGAGAGGACGACCAGCCAACCGGGGACUGGGACCCGGCCCAGACCCCGACGGGAGGCAGCAGGGGGGAAUUUUGGAAAAGGGGGGCAACCCUGAUCCAGCCAUGCCGGGGGCGGGAAGAAGGCCUUCGGGUUGGAAACCGCUUUUGUUCGGGAAGAAAUCCUUUGGGCUAAGACCCCGGGGGGAUGACGGUACCGGAAGAAUAAGCACCGGCGAAAUACGG
This 483-nucleotide ribosomal RNA is filed under the name uncultured bacterium. RNAcentral's name for it is "partial 16S ribosomal RNA". It matches the Rfam family "Bacterial small subunit ribosomal RNA", at positions 28 to 506 of the family's 1533-position model. The record is from RNAcentral.